This 394-nucleotide ribosomal RNA is filed under the name uncultured Prevotella sp. Its description in RNAcentral is "bacterial SSU rRNA". It matches the Rfam family "Bacterial small subunit ribosomal RNA", at positions 354 to 742 of the family's 1533-position model. The record is from RNAcentral. Lineage: Bacteria; Pseudomonadati; Bacteroidota; Bacteroidia; Bacteroidales; Prevotellaceae.
UGAGGGAAUAUUUGGGGUCAAUGGGCGAGAGCCUGAACCAGCCAAGUAGCGUGCAGGACGACGGCCCUAUGGGUUGUAAACUGCUUUUAUAAGGGAAUAAAGUGGGUCACGUGUGACUUUUUGCAUGUACCUUAUGAAUAAGGACCGGCUAAUUCCGUGCCAGCAGCCGCGGUAAUACGGAAGGUCCGGGCGUUAUCCGGAUUUAUUGGGUUUAAAGGGAGCGUAGGCCGGAGAUUAAGCGUGUUGUGAAAUGUAGACGCUCAACGUCUGCACUGCAGCGCGAACUGGUUUCCUUGAGUACGCACAAAGUGGGCGGAAUUCGUGGUGUAGCGGUGAAAUGCUUAGAUAUCACGAAGAACUCCGAUUGCGAAGGCAGCUCACUGGAGCGCAACUG